CAUUAUGUUACUGCUGAUUUUACUUUACAAUAUUGCCUCUGUUUUCUCCAUUACUAUCCAUAUAGAAUGUAUUAUCUAUUACAUUGCCAGAUGGAAUUCCUUAAACUGUUACCAUUUUAUUAUCAAGUUUAAACUACUGUAUCAAGGCUAAACUUCUUUGUCAAACUCAUGAUUUAGUUUGCUGAUCCAGUAUUAGCUGCCACCAAGAUCUAGUCCAUGUCCUACAUUAGAUUCUUCACAGCCAUCUCCCAUCGCAGCUUGUGCCUUCCUUUUCAUCAUUCUGCUUCUAACAUCUCAAAAAAAAAGAAGUUGAGAAGUGGGACAAGAUCAAGAAAGAAUGAAAAACACAAACUGUCGCUCCCCCUCUUCACGGAGGAACGACGCUGGACCCUGCGCUGUUCUUUUGUCUGCUCGGCCCUCCCCGGGUUUGCUGCUGGUUCUUCCAGGGUUGGCUGCCGAUCCUUCCACCUCUGUGGAAGGGCGGCUCCCCCUGCCACUUUCCCCACUUCCGCCAGGGAGCGGCACACCACCAGCCAGCUCUCUCGGGGGCUGCUCAGAUGUUAUCCGGAUGUUCCCUUUAGAUGUUCCUGGUGCAUGUUGUCUCUCUCCUCCUUUAUAGUCCUCUUCCACCAAUCCCAACUCUGCUACCCACACGCUGAGUACGCUGCUCUCCUCCAAUCAGGAGCAGGAUCAGCUCCUGCAGGUUAUUGGUCGAACUGGAGGCAGCUGUGUAGAAGUUGUUUACUCCUCUCCCAGCGCCAUAUUGUGGGAGAGCAGAUGCAUAGAAUAAGUCUUAAUUCCAGUAACUUAGUCUAGUCCGAGUUGCUCCCCACAACAAACCUAGGUGGAUAGCCAGUAUGGCUGAAUAGGGAAAAGAUGUGCUGAUUUUGACCAGAUAACAGGAGAAAGUGUAGUAACUUCAUUUCCAGAGGAGAGUUGGAGGGAAACUUGCAGUGGGAAUUCUACAGAAAGAAGAGGUGCUGUGGAGCAGAGUGGACAGCACAAACACGCAGCAAGGAACAGGGACACCACUGGAGACUCCCACAGCCAGGGGCUGGAGCAGACCAUCUUCGAGGAGCUGGGUGAGAGAGUCGGUGGCAGCUCAUGUCACUGGUGAUACUGCUGAGGGAGAACCUUGAGAUCACAGUGACUGAGUCUGCCUAGAGUGCUAGUGGGGGCAGGGUGCCCACCUCGCCCUGUGAAGGGAGAGCACACUGCUUUCUUCCCAGCCCCCUUCAAUAGCAUCUGGUACCUAGCAGGGAGAAAGCACCACUUUAAUAAGGGAAGCAGAGGCUAUGGAGGCGUGUGCACACAUGCACGACUAUGGGGUAUUAUCAGAGGGAUAAAUCCGCAGUCCCCCUUCCUCUGAGUUUGGCCUGGAGAAUUGGCAGGUGCCUAUUUAGGCCUGUGAGGUGUCUCCUCUGCUCACUCUAUCAUGGGCACCUGGACUCAACCUGUAAACGUGAAGCAAAGGCAGGUAGCACACUCUGGGAAUGCCUUGGCUCUCUCGGUGGGUGUGGCAUGGUUUGUGGGCCAGAGGGUGGGUCCCCUGCUCCCUGUACCUGUGGGAGCCUUGUGCAUGAUGACUGUGGGAAUUCUGUGACUACACAAUAGGGCGGGAGUAUAGCUGGGUCUCUGGGCAAUCACUGCAUCUGUCUUCAGAGACUCAGAGUUCCCUGUGUGCCUGGGUGGAUCACUGCACAGGGCUGUGCUCACCCUGCAGACCACACAGAUCCUAUGUGUGGUUCUAGCAGCUGGUGUGCAGUCACUGUGGGCUCACUCAGGAUAAUGAUCACCUUGGCAGAGGAGGUGAGGCCAUCAUGCAAGCCAAUGUGAUUAUAACCACACUCUUGCAGACAACAGCGGAGAUCUCCAUGUCCAACAUGGGUGUCAGCCUGUACCUUUGCCCCACACUCAAGCACUGACUGAAUUUCCCUGGCCCCACCCAACACACACCUCUGGGUAUCCACUGAGGGAGCAGACAUUCAACUAAGCCACAGAGCACAGUCCACAGAUAAAAGCCAUCAGAGCAGAAAACAAUGCCUAAACAUAAACAGAAAUAUUAGAAACACGAACAAGGGAAGCAAUAUGACUCCACAAAAGGAACACAACAAUACUCAAAUAUUAGAAUAUGAGGAUGAAGAGGUUGAUGAAAUGCCUGAAAAGGAAUUCAAAAGAAUGAUCAUAGGAUUACUCAGAAGUGAUGAGUAGCAAAUUCAUGAGCUAAAGAAACUCAUACAUGACAUGGAUGAAAAAUUUUGCUGGGAGAUAGAGAUACUAAAGAGAAAUCAAACUGAAAUAUUAGAAAUGUAGAUACAAAAUGUCAAAUAAAAAUAUAGUGGAAAGCCUUAAAACA
Molecule: long non-coding RNA, 2356 nt
Filed under: Oryctolagus cuniculus (rabbit)
Lineage: Eukaryota; Metazoa; Chordata; Mammalia; Lagomorpha; Leporidae
Description: lncRNA (ENSOCUG00000036623.1)
Source: RNAcentral